RNAcentral lists this ribosomal RNA (363 nucleotides) under Escherichia coli. RNAcentral describes it as "partial 23S ribosomal RNA". It matches the Rfam family "Bacterial large subunit ribosomal RNA", at positions 2586 to 2925 of the family's 2925-position model. RNAcentral also lists the same sequence under 1 other name. The record is from RNAcentral. Lineage: Bacteria; Pseudomonadati; Pseudomonadota; Gammaproteobacteria; Enterobacterales; Enterobacteriaceae.
AUUUAAAGUGGUACGCGAGCUGGGUUUAGAACGUCGUGAGACAGUUCGGUCCCUAUCUGCCGUGGGCGCUGGAGAACUGAGGGGGGCUGCUCCUAGUACGAGAGGACCGGAGUGGACGCAUCACUGGUGUUCGGGUUGUCAUGCCAAUGGCACUGCCCGGUAGCUAAAUGCGGAAGAGAUAAGUGCUGAAAGCAUCUAAGCACGAAACUUGCCCCGAGAUGAGUUCUCCCUGACCCUUUAAGGGUCCUGAAGGAACGUUGAAGACGACGACGUUGAUAGGCCGGGUGUGUAAGCGCAGCGAUGCGUUGAGCUAACCGGUACUAAUGAACCGUGAGGCUUAACCUUACAACGCCGAAGGUGUUU